This 457-nucleotide ribosomal RNA is filed under the name uncultured bacterium. Its description in RNAcentral is "bacterial SSU rRNA". It matches the Rfam family "Bacterial small subunit ribosomal RNA", at positions 43 to 498 of the family's 1533-position model. The record is from RNAcentral.
CAGGCCUAACACAUGCAAGUCGAACGGUAACAGGCCUUCGGGCGCUGACGAGUGGCGAACGGGUGAGUAAUGCAUCGGAACGUGCCCAGUCGUGGGGGAUAACGCAGCGAAAGCUGUGCUAAUACCGCAUACGAUCUGCGGAUGAAAGCGGGGGACCUUCGGGCCUCGCGCGAUUGGAGCGGCCGAUGUCAGAUUAGGUAGUUGGUGGGGUAAAGGCCCACCAAGCCGACGAUCUGUAGCUGGUCUGAGAGGACGACCAGCCACACUGGGACUGAGACACGGCCCAGACUCCUACGGGAGGCAGCAGUGGGGAAUUUUGGACAAUGGGCGCAAGCCUGAUCCAGCAAUGCCGCGUGCAGGAAGAAGGCCUUCGGGUUGUAAACUGCUUUUGUACGGAACGAAAAGGUCUGGGUUAAUACCUGGGCUCAUGACGGUACCGUAAGAAUAGCCGGUAACU